RNAcentral lists this ribosomal RNA (499 nucleotides) under uncultured Glomeromycotina. Its description in RNAcentral is "partial small subunit ribosomal RNA". It matches the Rfam family "Eukaryotic small subunit ribosomal RNA", at positions 591 to 1092 of the family's 1831-position model. Lineage: Eukaryota; Fungi; Glomeromycota. The record is from RNAcentral.
CCAAUAGCGUAUAUUAAAGUUGUUGCAGUUAAAAAGCUCGUAGUUGAAUUUCGGGAUUAAUUUACUGGUCGUGCUAUUGUACGUACUGGUUUUAUUGAUUCCUACCUUCUGACGAACUAUGAUGCCAUUAAUUUGGUGUCAUAGGGAAUCAGGACUGUUACUUUGAAAAAAUUAGAGUGUUUAAAGCAGGCUCACGCUUGCAUACAUUAGCAUGGAAUAACGAAAUAGGACGUUUGAUUCUAUUUUGUUGGUUUCUAGGAUCGACGUAAUGAUUAAUAGGGAUAGUUGGGGGCAUUAGUAUUCAAUUGUCAGAGGUGAAAUUCUUGGAUUUAUUGAAGACUAACUACUGCGAAAGCAUUUGCCAAGGAUGUUUUCAUUAAUCAAGAACGAAAGUUAGGGGAUCGAAGACGAUCAGAUACCGUCGUAGUCUUAACCAUAAACUAUGCCGACUAGGGAUCGGAUGAUGUUAAUUUUUUAAUGACUCAUUCGGCGCCUUACG